UGUGCAGAUACAUCACGCACAUGCAUGCAACAAAAGCUAUAAAGACUUAAAACACUAUACGAAAGUUUCGCCGUUGUUUGGAAAAACCUAUAGCAAAAGUUUCAUCGUAGUUUCGUUCUCGUAGUUAGCACUGGGAAAAAACAUUAAUUUACUUUAAAUGAUCCACCUUAUGCAAGUGCCCUUUCGCAGCUCAAUGCUAUUGGGAACCAAAUUUUAACGCAGACUGAUACUGUUAGGGAGAUCUGUAAGCUUAUCAUCUUCAUAUCCUGACGGCUCCAAAUUAACGCCACGGGAGAUAUUUCUUGCGAUAGCUGUGAAUGUCAUCGACUGCUUGGCUGCCUUGCUAAGGACUCCUUAUGAACGACUUCACGAAGUUUCCUGUUUUGAUACAGAGUGGAACCUAAAGGCGAAAUUAUACGAACCAACAAACACCUAUCAAAAGAGCACGUGACGAGGAUCUGAUCGGAAAACCUUAACUUAUCUUAUGUCAACUCAGGAAAAUAUCAUUUAUAUUUUCCAUUUUUUGCUUAAAACGAUAUAUAGAUAUAUAUAUAAACCCGUUUUCAAAAGCGUCGCAAUUUUAAGACAUAUAUGAAAUAUAUACACCUUUUGUUUUUCCAUUUAAAUGGUGUUGAUAGAGUAAGUUAUAGGGACAUUUUCUCAAAAGGAAAGUAAAAUAGCCGCUAACAACAACAACGGUGUCUUUUCCUUUGCUAUGAAAUAUACACGCAUUGUGCAUCAUCUUUUCGAUGAGAAAAGAAAAGGUAUACAUAUAUAUUUAUUGUAUAUUUCUAAAUUGCAACGCUUUUUGAAGGCGGGUGUGUAUAUAGAGGUUUCUUAGCCCUUAAGCAUUUGUUUGACAAUAUUUUGACACCGUCACAGUUUUCUGAUUGCCUCUCUUGCCAAUAUCUAUUAAAAUAAUCAAACAACUCAA
Pocillopora damicornis (cauliflower coral) is the source of this 934-nucleotide long non-coding RNA. Lineage: Eukaryota; Metazoa; Cnidaria; Anthozoa; Scleractinia; Pocilloporidae. The record is from RefSeq and is a predicted model, not a curated record.